Homo sapiens (human) is the source of this 1305-nucleotide long non-coding RNA. Lineage: Eukaryota; Metazoa; Chordata; Mammalia; Primates; Hominidae. The record is from Ensembl.
ACUCCACUUCCUUCUAAUUUCCCUUCCUCUGCAUUUUCAGUGAAUUUGUUUCUGUUCCUUCAAAUUCCAGCCUGUUCUUCCCAGACUCUCCAAGAUAUGCAGAGCUUUGGGCCAGGAUCCUACAGCCACGGGUCAUGCAGAGCCAGUUGGCCACAUCCUUUGGGCCAAAUUUGGUCCUAACCAGGUCUUACCACGGUAACUGCUAACCAGUCCAUCUUCAGUUAAUAUUUCAUGCGUAAGAUGUUUCAUGAAGUAACUGAAUGGGCUAAUGGGUUGUUCACUGGAUAAGACUCCCAGAUACUCCCUUUCAUGCCAUUCCCCAGAAUUCCUUCACCUCCCAGUGCUGUCUGUAAGGGUGAAGAUACUCCAUUUUGCCCCAUGCUCUUUGCUGUGCCCCAGAUAGGCUCAAACAUUUUUCCCUUUUGGGGAUUUUGCAGGUAGGAAUUGUUGAACAUCUUACCAUUUAAUCCAGAAGUUAUGUCCUUUAAGGAAUCGACCCUGAGCCUGUGAGUUUUACUUUGGGUUGGGGGUGAAGGAGUGGACCUUGCAGCAUUCAAGGUCAUCCAAGAUCAUCCAGUUAAGGCCCCUAAGGUCACUACGGGGGGAAAAGCCUGGUGAGGGAAGAGAAAGCAUUAGGGGGAGCUGCACCGUGCUGAGAAAUAACACCACACAGAAGUCUGUGUUCUAAUCUCAGCUCUGCUUUGCAUUACUGUGUGACCUGGAGCUGAUCACAGCCCUCUGAGUCUUAAAGGGGUUGGACAAGGCCAACUAAACAUUAGAAACACCUGAAAGUGCUGGUUAAAAGGAAGAAUGCAUGAGCUUCACUCCAGAUUUACUAUAUCAGAAUUUCCAGGGUCAGGGUCCAAGAAUCUGCAUGUUUAAUACGCUUUCCACAUGAUUUUUCCCCCCUCUGGACUUAAGAAAACAAUGGGCAAGUCAGCUCAUGAAGAACUUUUCAGAUAUUCAGACUAUUAUUCUGAGAGAGAAAAUAUUGGCAGAGAACAGAUGGGAUUUUUCUCAAGGAAAAGAAAUGGAAAUCCUACAUCUUGCAAGAAAUAGAAAAAAAUAAAUAAACUGUUUGAAGAAGAAUCACAUCAGGCUGGCAGGAGAGAGCCUGCGGCUCGGUGUCUGACCCAGAAUGUUAAAGCCAGCCUGGCUUGGCUCCAGGAUAAAGGACACUCUGUCAGCCUCUCCACAUUGAUUCAUCUCCCCAGCCCCAAGAUCAGGAGAGCAUUCUGUUCCUUGAAGCAUUUUAUGACUGUAAGUCAGAAGUGCUGCAGUUUUAAUAAAAAGCUGUAUUGUCCU